GCCCGGUAAGCUCAGUCGGGAGAGCACUCGCCUUGUAAGCGAAUUGUCAUGGGUUCGAGUCCCGUACUGGCCG
This 73-nucleotide transfer RNA is filed under the name Dreissena polymorpha. It matches the Rfam family "tRNA". From Rfam's summary of the family: Transfer RNA (tRNA) molecules are approximately 80 nucleotides in length. Their secondary structure includes four short double-helical elements and three loops (D, anti-codon, and T loops). Further hydrogen bonds mediate the characteristic L-shaped molecular structure. tRNAs have two regions of fundamental functional importance: the anti-codon, which is responsible for specific mRNA codon recognition, and the 3' end, to which the tRNAs corresponding amino acid is attached (by aminoacyl-tRNA synthetases). tRNAs cope with the degeneracy of the genetic code in two manners: having more than one tRNA (with a specific anti-codon) for a particular amino acid; and 'wobble' base-pairing, i.e. permitting non-standard base-pairing at the 3rd anti-codon position. The record is from Rfam by way of RNAcentral. Lineage: Eukaryota; Metazoa; Mollusca; Bivalvia; Myida; Dreissenidae.